This 18-nucleotide small nuclear RNA is filed under the name Arabidopsis thaliana (thale cress). Its description in RNAcentral is "snRNA_03910". Lineage: Eukaryota; Viridiplantae; Streptophyta; Magnoliopsida; Brassicales; Brassicaceae. The record is from RNAcentral.
CUCCCAAAGGCACGUGUC